AGAGUUUGAUCCUGGCUCAGGAUGAACGCUAGCGGCAGGCCUAAUACAUGCAAGUCGAACGGGAGUAGCAAUACUCUAGUGGCGCACGGGUGCGUAACGCGUAUGCAACCUACCUUUCAGUGGGGGAUAGCCCGGGGAAACCCGGAUUAAUACCGCAUAAGAUAGUUGACUGGCAUCAGUUAAUUAUGAAACAUUUAUGGCUGAAAGAUGGGCAUGCGUUAGAUUAGCUAGUUGGUGAGGUAGAGGCUCACCAAGGCUAUGAUCUAUAGGGGUUCUGAGAGGAAGAUCCCCCACACUGGUACUGAGACAGGGACCAGACUCCUACGGGAGGCAGCAGUAGGGAAUAUUGGGCAAUGGAGGCAACUCUGACCCAGCCAUGCCGCGUGCAGGAAGAAGGCCUUCUGGGUUGUAAACUGCUUUUGGAAGGGAACAAAAAGGCUUUGCGAAGCAACUUGAGUGUACCUUCAGAAUAAGCACCGGCUAACUCCGUGCCAGCAGCCGCGGUAAUACGGAGGGUGCAAGCGUUGUCCGGAUUUAUUGGGUUUAAAGGGUGCGUAGGCGGCUUAUUAAGUCAGGGGUGAAAGACUGCAGCUCAACUGUAGCAGUGCCUUUGAUACUGAUGAGCUUGAGUACAGAUGAGGCAGGCGGAAUGGGUGGUGUAGCGGUGAAAUGCAUAGAUACCAUCCAGAACACCGAUUGCGAAGGCAGCCUGCUAAACUGUAACUGACGCUGAGGCACGAAAGCGUGGGGAUCGAACAGGAUUAGAUACCCUAGUAGUCC
RNAcentral lists this ribosomal RNA (780 nucleotides) under uncultured bacterium. Its description in RNAcentral is "bacterial SSU rRNA". It matches the Rfam family "Bacterial small subunit ribosomal RNA", at positions 8 to 796 of the family's 1533-position model. The record is from RNAcentral.